RNAcentral lists this long non-coding RNA (321 nucleotides) under Elaeis guineensis (African oil palm). Its description in RNAcentral is "long non-coding RNA (EGUI_LNC046639)". Lineage: Eukaryota; Viridiplantae; Streptophyta; Magnoliopsida; Arecales; Arecaceae. The record is from RNAcentral.
CCUGUAUACCAUACCAGUGUCUCCACACUCCUUGGUUAAGAGGACAACCAACCCAUAUGGCCUACAGCAACCUAUGCUUGAUAGAAGCUAUCGUCCUUAUUAACAGCCCAUCAUUUGGUCUUGAACAGUUUUAAGGACUAAUCGAUAAAUCCUCUCUUUAUCGAACCUAAAUAGUCCUAAGGACUUCAUCACAACAAUGGUGUUCAUUAGAAGAUGAAAACUUGUGAUGAAAAUAUCAAAAAUAUAUUUUAUUUAUUAACAAAUCAAUUAUAAUACAAGGUUGCUCAACCGUCAACAGGUUGAUGAUUGGCUUUUAGGACA